RNAcentral lists this ribosomal RNA (305 nucleotides) under uncultured bacterium. RNAcentral describes it as "bacterial SSU rRNA". It matches the Rfam family "Bacterial small subunit ribosomal RNA", at positions 335 to 659 of the family's 1533-position model. The record is from RNAcentral.
AGCCUACGGGACGCAGCAGUGGGGAAUAUUGCACAAUGGGGGAAACCCUGAUGCAGCGACGCCGCGUGAGCGAAGAAGUAUUUCGGUAUGUAAAGCUCUAUCAGCAGGGAAGAAAAUGACGGUACCUGAGUAAGAAGCUCCGGCUAAAUACGUGCCAGCAGCCGCGGUAAUACGUAUGGAGCAAGCGUUAUCCGGAAUGAUUGGGCGUAAAGGGUACGUAGGCGGCCUGCUAAGUCUGGAGUGAAAGGUACCGGCUCAACCGGUACAGGCUCUGGAAACUGGCGGGCUAGAGAGCAGGAGAGGGG